This is a long non-coding RNA of Juglans microcarpa x Juglans regia, 193 nucleotides long. RefSeq lists it as uncharacterized. The record is from RefSeq and is a predicted model, not a curated record. The transcript has 2 exons. Lineage: Eukaryota; Viridiplantae; Streptophyta; Magnoliopsida; Fagales; Juglandaceae.
ACCACUGUGGGUAGUUCGAAACAAGUACUCAGUCCAUUAGUUGUCAGAGGGAAAGACAGACCCCCAUAUCUGAGGAGAGCAUCCAGGAUGGAGAAAGACAUGCAGAAAGUUAAAGGAAAGACAAAGAAAGCACCAGUAAACCGGAAACGUAAACAAAGAGAUGGAGGAGAUACACCAGUGCUGGACACAUGCA